GAUGAAGAACGUAGUGAAAUGCGAUAAGUAGUGUGAAUUGCAGAAUUCAGUGAAUCAUCGAAUCUUUGAACGCACAUUGCGCCCCUCGGUACUCCGUGGGGCAUGCCUGUUCGAGCGUCAUUUAACCCCUCAAGCCUAGCUUGGUAUUGGGUGCUUGUCCCGCCUCUCGCGCGGCGACUCACCUCAAAGUCAUUGGCAGCCCGCAUCUCGCCGGCCGUGAGCGCAGCACAGACGCGCUCUUGGCAACGACGGAUCGGCUCUCCAAAAGCUUAUUUCAACCACUGACCUCGGAUCAGGUAGGGAUACCCGCUGAACUUAAGCAUAUCAAUAAGCGGAGGA
This 339-nucleotide unclassified non-coding RNA is filed under the name soil metagenome. Its description in RNAcentral is "partial contains 5.8S ribosomal RNA, internal transcribed spacer 2, and large subunit ribosomal RNA". The stretch from base 1 to 120 matches the Rfam family "5.8S ribosomal RNA", at positions 35 to 154 of the family's 154-position model. The record is from RNAcentral.